CGCUGAAGCAAAGCAUGGUGGGCCUGGUUAGUACUUGGAUGGGAGACAGUUGAGAAUACCAGGUGCUACAGGGA
This 74-nucleotide ribosomal RNA is filed under the name Periophthalmus magnuspinnatus. The record is from RNAcentral. Lineage: Eukaryota; Metazoa; Chordata; Actinopteri; Gobiiformes; Gobiidae.